This 253-nucleotide ribosomal RNA is filed under the name uncultured bacterium. RNAcentral's name for it is "partial 16S ribosomal RNA". It matches the Rfam family "Bacterial small subunit ribosomal RNA", at positions 524 to 776 of the family's 1533-position model. The record is from RNAcentral.
GACGGGGGGUGCAAGCAAUACUCGGAAUCACUGGGCGUAAAGGGCGCGUAGGCGGCCUAGCAAGUCUGGUGUGAAAGCCCAGGGCUCAACCCUGGAAGGGCACUGGAAACUGUUAGGCUUGAGUUCCGGAGAGGAGGGGGGAAUUCCCGGUGUAGCGGUGAAAUGCGUAGAUAUCGGGAGGAAUACCGGUGGCGAAGGCGCCCCUCUGGAUGGAAACUGACGCUGAGGCGCGAAAGCGUGGGGAGCAAACAGG